UGGGGAAUAUUGCACAAUGGGCGAAAGCCUGAUGCAGCGACGCCGCGUGCGGGAUGAAGGCCUUCGGGUUGUAAACCGCUUUUGAUUGGGAGCAAGCGAGAGUGAGUGUACCUUUCGAAUAAGCACCGGCUAACUACGUGCCAGCAGCCGCGGUAAUACGUAGGGUGCAAGCGUUAUCCGGAAUUAUUGGGCGUAAAGAGCUCGUAGGCGGUUUGUCGCGUCUGGUGUGAAAGUCCAUCGCUUAACGGUGGAUCUGCGCCGGGUACGGGCAGGCUAGAGUGCGACAGGGGAGACUGGAAUUCCCGGUGUAACGGUGGAAUGUGUAGAUAUCGGGAAGAACACCAAUGGCGAAGGCAGGUCUCUGGGUCGUCACUGACGCUGAGGAGCGAAAAGCGUGGGGAGCGAACAGGAUUAGAUACCCUGGUAGUCCACGCCGUAAACGGUGGAUGCUGGAUGUGGGGCCCAUUCCACGGGUUCCGUGUCGGAGCUAACGCGU
This 496-nucleotide ribosomal RNA is filed under the name uncultured bacterium. RNAcentral describes it as "partial 16S ribosomal RNA". It matches the Rfam family "Bacterial small subunit ribosomal RNA", at positions 355 to 860 of the family's 1533-position model. The record is from RNAcentral.